GAAGGUCAAUAAUUGAAACAUACCUUUUAGUCAUAUUUCAGUUCCCUCCAAUUAUUUCAUUCUAAAUGUUCCCUCUAUUGGGUGAAAAAUAAAAUAUAUCUGCUCACAUUGCCCUAAUCAUCUAUUCCCUCUCUGUAAACCACAAAUAUGCAAAAAGAGCAUCUUCCUAUUUGGUCUCGUCUUCUCCAUUCUACGACACAAAUUCUCGAAGAGAAUCAGGAUGGCUCGGGAAUUGGUGGAUUGCUUGGUGCAAAUUGAUGGAUUAAAUACAAGCGUGAUAAAUUGAUCAAUUCAUUAUGUGCAUUUCUGUUUAUAACUUUUAUUCUCUCUCUCUCUCUCUCUAUAUCUCUUUUAUUCUACAAAUUUGUGAUAAAAUGUUUUCAUGUACAAGAUCCUCAGGUAUUCCUUUUAUUAAUAAACUAGAAUGAACCAAGUCUCAGAAGGUGGAUGGUGUUAAUCUAACGGUUAUUAUUGCGUGAGCACCAGUUUUUGUGCCAUUUGAUUUUGCAACUUGAACUAUCUUGUAAUAUCUCAAAGCUUAGUGAAAGUAUUGCAAUUGAUGAGCUUAAUAAAUAUCAUCUGCUUUGUCAAAAGAAAAUUUAAAUAUUUAAUUAAUGUUGUAAAUUAGAUUUAUAUUGCAAAACAACAUUUCAUUAUAUCUGAAAUGGCAACUCUUGAAUGAGGCUUCCUUUUUCCUCAGUUCUCACUUCAGAUAGUAUGUAUUCCACCCCCUUUCCUCCCUAAUUUAAAGGUUUGAAAUCCUGUUAAUCCAUUUGUCUUGCUUCUAUUUUGAGCUUGAAAGAUGGGAUAUAUAGGCCCACAAGUUUUUCGCUACUGGAAGUUCACAUUGGUGCUUAAUAUUAAUAUCUUUUCCAAUAGGUCACUGCCUGUUCCAGAUGCAACUCAAGGAAGGGUCAUAAGACAACCGAGGAAGCAAAUAUGAAUCUUAUGAAAGAACCUAAGCUUCCUCCACUUUUGAUGCUUUCUACUACAAAUGCAACAUUUGGAGGAUUAUAUUAUGGUAUUCAGAGCUUUCACGUGUGAAGGCUCCAAUAAUCAAGAGUUGGAGAAACUUUAAUGUGUCAUUUAUCUUAUAAUAUUGUAGCUACAUAGAGAAGCGUUGUAGCUAUUUGAUGACAUCAGUUAUUAAAUACCAAUUGACUGGUUAUUAGAUUCAAAUAGUUUACUUGUUUUGUCUUUAUGCUAUUGACACUUCUAAAAUUACGCUUGUUGUUGAUUUAAUGAAGUGUAUUGAGCCUUUUAAAAUUAA
Molecule: non-coding RNA, 1270 nt
Organism: Nicotiana tabacum (common tobacco)
Lineage: Eukaryota; Viridiplantae; Streptophyta; Magnoliopsida; Solanales; Solanaceae
Source: RefSeq, a predicted model, not a curated record